This 838-nucleotide ribosomal RNA is filed under the name delta proteobacterium FM3-A5. Its description in RNAcentral is "bacterial SSU rRNA". It matches the Rfam family "Bacterial small subunit ribosomal RNA", at positions 86 to 908 of the family's 1533-position model. The record is from RNAcentral. Lineage: Bacteria; Deltaproteobacteria.
CUGAGUAGAGUGGCGCACGGGUGAGUAACGCGUGGGUAAUCUACCCUUGGAUUUGGGAUAACUCUGCGAAAGUGGAGCUAAUACCGGAUAGUCUGGCUUUAAAUAAGAAGUCGGUAAAGGAUGCCUCUGCAUAUGCAUUCGUCCGAGGAUGAGCCCGCGUCUCAUUAGCUAGUUGGUAGGGUAAUGGCCUACCAAGGCAACGAUGAGUAGCUGGUCUGAGAGGAUGAUCAGCCACACUGGAACUGAAACACGGUCCAGACUCCUACGGGAGGCAGCAGUGGGGAAUAUUGCGCAAUGGGCGAAAGCCUGACGCAGCAACGCCGUGUGAGGGAUGAAGGCUUUCGGGUCGUAAACCUCUGUCGGAAGGGAAGAACGGGCAUUGGUCUAAUAGGCCUUUGUUUUGACGGUACCUUUAGAGGAAGCACCGGCUAACUCCGUGCCAGCAGCCGCGGUAAUACGGAGGGUGCAAGCGUUAUUCGGAAUUACUGGGCGUAAAGCGCACGUAGGCGGCCUUGUAAGUCAGGGGUGAAAUCCCACGGCUCAACCGUGGAACUGCCUUUGAAACUGCAGGGCUUGAAUCCUGGAGAGGGUGGCGGAAUUCCUGGUGUAGGAGUGAAAUCCGUAGAUAUCAGGAGGAACACCGGUGGCGAAGGCGGCCACCUGGACAGGCAUUGACGCUGAGGUGCGAAAGUGUGGGGAGCAAACAGGAUUAGAUACCCUGGUAGUCCACACCGUAAACGAUGGAUACUAGGUGUCGGGGACUUGAUCUUCGGUGCCGUAGCUAACGCGUUAAGUAUCCCGCCUGGGGAGUACGGUCGCAAGGCUGAAACUCAAAGAA